RNAcentral lists this non-coding RNA (101 nucleotides) under bovine gut metagenome. Its description in RNAcentral is "Glycine riboswitch". It matches the Rfam family "Glycine riboswitch aptamer", at positions 7 to 88 of the family's 94-position model. Rfam says of the family: This family represents the bacterial glycine riboswitch. The record is from RNAcentral.
CGGCACUCUGGAGACGCCCGCAGAGCGCGGGGGCCGAAGGUGAAAGCGCGACAGGGGAUCGCCCUGGCAUGCGCGAAUCUCUCAGGCAAAAGGACAGAGCG